GACGGAGGAUGCAAGCGUUGUCCGGAAUUAUUGGGCGUAAAGCGUCCGUAGGUGGCCUAUCAAGUCUGCUGUUAAAUCCCAGGGCUCAACUCUGGAUCAGCAGUGGAAACUGAUAAGCUAGAGUGCGGUAGGGGCAGAGGGAAUUCCCUGUGUAGCGGUGAAAUGCGUAGAUAUCGGGAAGAACACCAGUGGCGAAGGCGCUCUGCUGGGCCGUAACUGACACUCAUGGACGAAAGCUAGGGGAGCGAGAGGG
RNAcentral lists this ribosomal RNA (253 nucleotides) under uncultured bacterium. Its description in RNAcentral is "partial 16S ribosomal RNA". It matches the Rfam family "Bacterial small subunit ribosomal RNA", at positions 524 to 776 of the family's 1533-position model. The record is from RNAcentral.